AAGCAUUUGGGUGUAUAUUACGAUUCAUAUUAAAUCAGAAUACCAAAUUAUUGGAGAUGAGCGUGGAUAAAUAGAGGGCUCCACUGACACAGAAUAUCAGAUCGCCACAAAUCCUAGAAUCAAAUCUAAUUACAGAUUGGCCACGAGUUUCCAGAAGCGGGCCGUGCAAUUUUCGAAAUUACGGGACACGUAGGGGGAAUAUAUACGCGUAAUUAGAAAAGUCGUUGAAUUCCUGGAAGCCGGAGACCGAUGAUUGACCGCGCGGCCGGCUUAAAUGAAGCGACUGGCCGGUCGGUGGCUCGUAAUUAUCGAGAGGCUCGGGUUAAUUGGCUUGACCGCCGCACUCGUCCCAUUCUCAACGCGUUUCGCUGUAAUUUAAAGUAAUGCAAUCCGGUUUCUAAUUAGCUCACUCUAUUAAAA
Apis florea (little honeybee) is the source of this 420-nucleotide long non-coding RNA. The record is from RefSeq and is a predicted model, not a curated record. Lineage: Eukaryota; Metazoa; Arthropoda; Insecta; Hymenoptera; Apidae.